RNAcentral lists this long non-coding RNA (645 nucleotides) under Lathyrus oleraceus (garden pea). RNAcentral describes it as "Pisum sativum (pea) long non-coding RNA (PSAT_LNC010191)". The record is from RNAcentral. Lineage: Eukaryota; Viridiplantae; Streptophyta; Magnoliopsida; Fabales; Fabaceae.
GAGACUUGAGCUACUCCAUUGCCUGCAUUCCAACGUACAGUACGAGGGAAUCGAUUAAUGGCGCAUUGGAGCAACUUUGUUCAUAACAGCAAGUUUGCGAACUUGCUCAAUUUCUGAAUCAACCAUGUGAUGCAUAUUAAGAUCACUCGGUAUUGGUGACUUCAUUUCAAAUGAGCAAGUUUGCGAACUUGCUCAAUUUCUGAAUCAACCAUGUGAUGCAUAUUAAGAUCACUCGGUAUUGGUGACUUCAUUUCAAAUGCAUCGACGUUUCCGGCAAGACAUUCUUCUGUUUGUUCUUCAGCAGCAUGCAAAGUUUUGGUAACUUUUCACUCUCAAGUAGUUUCCAAUGAGCAAGUCGCGGUCUCAGCAUCCCAUAUACUUCAAUUGCUUUUGAAUUCCAUUCGUCUCCACCUCCUUAAGUACAAAAACAAACAACAUAAUACGGAUCCCGGAAUAGCACAAAAGCACUCCAAGCCAUCGGUUUAAAUUGCUGCUAAGUGUUUGAGCUGCUAAGGUUGUCGGUAAAGUGCUUCCUACCUUGAAUGGAAAAUUUACCGGUAUGUCAUUCAUUGUCUCAACUGUGGAUGUCUCAGCCGUCGGCCUUACAGUGAGGCUCGAGAAGACCAACCUCAAUCCACGCCGAAG